GAGGGMAAGYCUGGUGCCAGCAGCCGCGGUAAUUCCAGCUCCAGUAGCGUAUAUUAAAGUUGUUGCAGUUAAAAAGCUCGUAGUUGGAUUUGUGGUGUGUUCUUUUUGUGUGGCUCUCAACUCAGCUUCGGCUUAUUGUCGUUGUUGUUGUUGUUGUCACCAACACAUCAUCCUUGAUGGGAUUUAGAGUCAUUUCGACUUUUUAUUCUCAUCAUCCUUUACUUUGAAAAAAUUGGAGUGAUUCAAGCAGGCGAAUUCAUUUGUUUUUAUUAACAAAUCAUCAAUUUGCUUCUGCACAUGUUAGCAUGGAAUAAUGCAAGAGGACUUGGGUUUUCUCUUUCAUUGGUUUCAGGAAUCCGAGUAAUGAUUGAUAGGGACAGUUGGGGGUGCUCAUAUUCGACGGCCAGAGGUGAAAUUCUUGGAUUCGUUGAGGAUGAACAACUGCGAAAGCAUUCACCAAGGAUGUCUUCUUUAAUCAAGAACGAAAGUUGGGGGAUCGAAGAUGAUCAGAUACCGUCGUAGUCCCAACCAUAAACGAUGCCGACCAGGGAUCAGCGAGCGUUGACUUUGCAUAACCUUUCACUUCUUGUGAUGGUUAUUGCAAAUCUCAUUUAUUUGAAACGACCUCGUUGGCACCUUGCGAGAAAUCACCAGUCUUUGGGCUCCGGGGGGAGUAUGGUCGCAAGGCUGAAACUUAAAGGAAUUGACGGAAGGGCACAACCAGCAGUGGAGCCUGCGGUUUAAAUUGACUCAACACGGGGAAACUUACCAGGUCCAGACAUCAUAAGGAUUGACAGAUUGAAGAUCUUUCUUGAUUUGAUGGUUGGUGGUGCAUGGCCGUUCUUAGUUGGUGGAGUGAUUUGUCUGGUUAAUUCCGUUAACGAACGAGACCUCAACCUGCCAAAUAGGUUGGUGGAUUGUAAUGAUAUUUUAUUUUUUAUGAUUCACGUUGUGGUUUUGUGAUAAUUGUCAUUUUGAUGAUUGUUGCACCCAACUAAAUGAGAUUGGUUUUAUACCUUUCUUUAUUUACAACACUUCUUGGAGGGACUAUCAGUUCGCAUCUGAUGGAGGUUUGAGGCAAUAACAGGUCUGUGAUGCCCUUCGAUGUCCUGGGCUACACGCGCGCUACACUGAUACAUGCAUCAAGCAGUUCAUUGAAAAGUUGGUUCACCUCGAAUCACUUUGACACCUUUGCUGAUAGGCUUGGGGAAUCUUUGAACUUGUAUCGUGAUGGGGAUAGAUGAUUGCAAUUAUUCAUCUUCAACGAGGAAUUCCUAGUAAACGCGGCUCAUCAAGCCGCAUUGAAUACGUCCCUGCCCUUUGUACACACCGCCCGUCGCUGCUACCGAUUGAAUGGUUCAGCAAGCUCUACAGACUGGCUGCCUUUCUUGUCUUUUAUCGGAUGGGAACUUGGUGCCGGGAAGUGGCGCAAACUUGACCAUUUAGAGGAAGCAAAAGUCGUAACAAGG
RNAcentral lists this ribosomal RNA (1469 nucleotides) under Reticulamoeba minor. Its description in RNAcentral is "SSU rRNA". It matches the Rfam family "Eukaryotic small subunit ribosomal RNA", at positions 553 to 1819 of the family's 1831-position model. The record is from RNAcentral. Lineage: Eukaryota; Cercozoa.